Molecule: long non-coding RNA, 91 nt
Organism: Etheostoma spectabile (orangethroat darter)
Lineage: Eukaryota; Metazoa; Chordata; Actinopteri; Perciformes; Percidae
Exons: 3
Source: RefSeq, a predicted model, not a curated record
UAGCUUUAAAACCCAAAGUUAAAUCAUCACUACAGUAGAAAAGCUAUGUAAUCCUUUAACUGACAGGCAGUGCUGUCAGUGUUUCCAUCAA